Molecule: non-coding RNA, 1203 nt
Organism: Manis javanica (Malayan pangolin)
Lineage: Eukaryota; Metazoa; Chordata; Mammalia; Pholidota; Manidae
Source: RefSeq, a predicted model, not a curated record
UUGCGGGGUAGAAGAAAUGCAAAGCAGGUGGGUCAAAGACCAUUCCUUAGAGAAGCGGCCACUAAGUCCCAUUGAGCUCAAGAAAUAAGGCCUUCAGCGUUGUUGGUAAGAGUUAGCUAGAGAAAGGGAGAGCCACAGGCUGGAAGGCUCAGAGGGGAGAAAAACUGUUAAAGAAUAGUAAAAGACAAGAACAGUUGCAGAGUAAUUCAAGCAGGUAUGGUUUUGAGCACAUUGAUUAAAAUAUAUUUACUUGCCACAUGUCCAUGCUAAGGCUAUAAUAAGGAAUCCAGAGGAAGUGGCCUCCAUCUGUGUUCUGCAAAGGACACCCAUCUGUUUACUGGGGAUCCUGUGUAGUUUAGGAGCAGCUUGAGGAUAUUUAAUGCAUUUUCUACUUGUGGGUUUUAAGUUCUUAUCAGAUGAAUAGAAGCUGAAAGCUGUUGGCCAGAGUGGAAAAAGGAAUGGAGGAAGAGAGAUGGAGUUAACAAGAGAUUGGAGUUAACACUCCAAAUGCCAGUCUCAAACCAACAGAGUAUAUUUUUCCCCUUUUUCCUUGAUUUAUCUCUUCUUUUCUUUUUUUAAACUGGCAGGUUUGUUUUUUGCUGUUUUAAAUUAGUUCAUUGUAUUCUUCAUGGUCCAAAAACUCCAAAGGUUCAAAAAAAGAUUGAUGUGGAAACAAGGGAAAGAACAUUCAGGCUGAAAUGAAGAGAAAGGACAUUAUAAGCGAGUAACAGGAGAAUUAAAACAUGAAACUUUCUGCAUCUCAAGAUAAUAGUAAUGCUCCUUCACGGCAUCUACUUCCUGGGGAACCUAACUGCAAACAUUGCUCCAUCCUCCUAACCCUGAGGGAACAUUGGACUCCACUGCAAGAUGUUUGUGUAGUUUGAAAACGUCUCCCAAGAUCCUGUUCCCAUCUCAGUGAUCCUGACAUUUCCCGUGGGGAUCAGUGUAAAGUACCACGGCUUUUUCCUAAAGAGGAGAGGCGUGAAGGAAACACCAGUGGUGUGCUCAAAACAUGAACAACUACCAUGUGGAAAAAAUGAAAAAAAUGAGAACAAAUCAACAGAUGAAGAAACUAAAGAUCAGAGGGUCAGAGAGGUUGCAAGUGACUCUAUAACUCAGUCUCUUCACUAUACCAUACUGCCUCUAAGAGUUGUGAUGCAAUCAAAUUAAUCUGUAAAUUAAAUAUAUUUUAAACAAUGUAGU